Long non-coding RNA from Cervus elaphus (red deer), 684 nucleotides. RefSeq lists it as uncharacterized. The record is from RefSeq and is a predicted model, not a curated record. The transcript has 3 exons. NCBI's taxonomy places the organism in Eukaryota, Metazoa, Chordata, Mammalia, Artiodactyla, Cervidae.
CCCAGCCUGUCGUUGUUGGAGCCAGUGGGUGGCCGGGUUGGAACCCUGGAGAGGUAGCCAUGGAGGAGGCCAGUCUCCGAACGCAGCAGCCUUCAGGAAGAGAGGGCAGUGAGAUGGUCUGAAGCAGAACACUAGGAUGGGGAGGCAAUGUGAAGCUGUGUCCCCAGAAGACCUUCCCUGCAUCUGGAAAUCUGACCUGACCAGCUCAGGCUGAAGACACUGGAACGCACCCAAAUCUCAGAAGAUGCUAAAGGACCCCCAAUUCAGGAGCCCAGAAAACACAACACCUAGACAGCCUUGCUCCAGGCUGCUUUGACCUUGUGGGUAGUUAACUGGGUUUCUGCCUCGUACUAUGUGUCCCUGCAGUGCCCCUUCCAGGAGCUGGUUUCUCUUAUUGUCUCGUUCAGAAUUUCUGCCUGGUUCUCUUAUCUGCUGAUCCUGUGUUGGGGACUCUGAGGAGUUCUGUCAGUGCCUCUCAGUGCCUGGGGCCCUGCCCCUGAAGCCAGCUCCCCUGGCCAGUUCUCUUGGUUCUUGCACCCUGCUGACCAUCUAGGUGGUUCUAUUAUGAUUCAGGGAAGCCAUUUAGCAUCUGUGGUGGGCUGAAUAAUGGCCCCAAAGAUGUCCAUGGCUUAAUCCCUGUACCUUUGAAUGAAUAGUUUGGUUUACAUGGCAAAGGCAACUUCA